UACGUAGGGGGCAAGCGUUGUCCGGAAUCAUUGGGCGUAAAGAGCGUGUAGGCGGCUCGGUAAGUCCGCUGUGAAAGUCCAGGGCUCAACCCUGGAAUGCCGGUGGAAACUGUCGAGCUAGAGUCCGGGAGAGGCGAGUGGAAUUCCUGGUGUAGCGGUGAAAUGCGCAGAUAUCAGGAGGAACACCAAUGGCGAAGGCAGCUCGCUGGGACGGUACUGACGCUGAGGAGCGAAAGCGUGGGGAGCAAACAGG
This 253-nucleotide ribosomal RNA is filed under the name uncultured bacterium. RNAcentral's name for it is "partial 16S ribosomal RNA". It matches the Rfam family "Bacterial small subunit ribosomal RNA", at positions 524 to 776 of the family's 1533-position model. The record is from RNAcentral.